Molecule: non-coding RNA, 350 nt
Organism: Firmicutes bacterium CAG:194
Lineage: Bacteria; Bacillati; Bacillota
Rfam family: Bacterial RNase P class A
About the family: Ribonuclease P (RNase P) is a ubiquitous endoribonuclease, found in archaea, bacteria and eukarya as well as chloroplasts and mitochondria. Its best characterised activity is the generation of mature 5'-ends of tRNAs by cleaving the 5'-leader elements of precursor-tRNAs. Cellular RNase Ps are ribonucleoproteins.
Source: Rfam
CAAGUAGGACAAAUGAUCGCGGCUGCCAGACCGAAAGGCGGCAGACGAGGAAAGUCCGGGCUUCACAGGGCAGGAUGCCGGAUAACGUCCGGUGGAGGUGACUCCAAGGCAAGUGCAACAGAAAUAUACCGCCGGGAUCUCCCGGUAAGGGUGGAAAGGCAGCUUAAGAGACUACCGCCCUGCUGGUAACAGCAGGGGCACAUGUAAACCCCAUCCGAAGCAAGACCGAGCAGAGAACGAUGCAGCGGCCCGUUGCGUUCUCAGGUAGGUUGCUUGAGCCUGCUGGCAACAGCAGGUCUAGAUAGAUGAUCAUUCAACGACAUAACCCGGCUUACCGUCCUGCUUGCUUU